This 293-nucleotide long non-coding RNA is filed under the name Setaria italica (foxtail millet). RNAcentral describes it as "long non-coding RNA (SITA_LNC002676)". Lineage: Eukaryota; Viridiplantae; Streptophyta; Magnoliopsida; Poales; Poaceae. The record is from RNAcentral.
UGGUUUCGUUGCGGCGGUCGGCGACGUAGGCUUUGUAUUCGAGGAGCACCGAAGGGAUCUCCUCUUCUUCAUCGCCGCCGGCGUCGAGGGCAGGCGGAUGGAAGCUCGCUUUUUUCAAUCCAAACAUGGAUGGGUGGGUGUUUUGGGUGUGCUUCUUGUGUUCGGAUGAUGAAUCGCUCGAUCCCUAGUAGCUCUGGAUUUUGCCCACCUAGCUAAUAUGAGGAUCGGAGGAGCGGCGGUUCAGACUCCAACUAGGAAAAUUCAUACUACCACCGAGUGGAGUAUCAAUCGAU